This 496-nucleotide ribosomal RNA is filed under the name uncultured bacterium. RNAcentral's name for it is "partial 16S ribosomal RNA". It matches the Rfam family "Bacterial small subunit ribosomal RNA", at positions 28 to 506 of the family's 1533-position model. The record is from RNAcentral.
GAUGAACGCUGGCGGCGUGCCUAAUACAUGCAAGUCGAGCGAACAGACGAGGAGCUUGCUCCUCUGACGUUAGCGGCGGACGGGUGAGUAACACGUGGAUAACCUACCUAUAAGACUGGGAUAACUUCGGGAAACCGGAGCUAAUGCCGGAUAAUAUAUUGAACCGCAUGGUUCAAUAGUGAAAGACGGUUUUGCUGUCACUUAUAGAUGGAUCCGCGCCGCAUUAGCUAGUUGGUAAGGUAACGGCUUACCAAGGCAACGAUGCGUAGCCGACCUGAGAGGGUGAUCGGCCACACAGGAACUGAGACACGGUCCAGACUCCUACGGGAGGCAGAAGUAGGGAAUCUUCCGAAAUGGGCGAAAGCCUGACGGAGCAACGCCGCGUGGGUGAAGAAGGUCUUCGGAUCGUAAAACUAUUUUAUUGGGGAAGAACAAAUGUGAAAGUAACUAUGCCCGUCUUGACGGUACCGAAUCAGAAAGCCCCGGCUAACUACGU